Molecule: long non-coding RNA, 3366 nt
Filed under: Gigantopelta aegis
Lineage: Eukaryota; Metazoa; Mollusca; Gastropoda; Neomphalida; Peltospiridae
Description: uncharacterized LOC121385681
Source: RNAcentral
UCCACGUAAAAUUUAUAAUUUCAAAUUAUAAACAUUUACAUAUUGUUUCGGAACCUCCCCCUCCCUUACCUAAAGUAUAAUCCGCCCCUGAUGCAGGGCCGUACCCUGAUCAAAAUCCUAGGUGGGGGGUACUACUUGUUAUCAACAAAUGAAACACUAUACUAAUUAUAUGCUAUUUCACAGGGGGGAAACGCUGUCCAUGCCAAAACGGAAGUUGCUUAGUACCAUUUUCCCGCUGGAUAGUCGUAAACGACAGAACACAGCAAGUAUACGACGGUGAGAAGUGGAUCACAGAACCCUGUUACAAACGUCAAUGAAGUAAUACAGGUGCUAUUGCUUUAUUUGGAAUAACGGAGGCUAUUUUCCACUGCUAUUACUGUCGUCUGAUGUCUGAUUUUGGAUCCAUCAUGCAACACUUAAUGCACGAGCACCCUGGUGAUGUCAUCAAAGUGCGACAGAGGGUUCCUAGUCCUCACUCUGGAAAAAUUAGAUUUCAAACUAAAUCCAGUACAUGAUUUGCAAACGAGUGUUUGUCUCUCUGUUGGUACAUGCAAGCAACCAUCAAAAAAACAAAACAUUGUUAUAAGGUACAUGUUAUAUAGGUUUAUUGUUAAAAUACCAAGUUAAUAACUGCAUUCAGGGUGUCUAGGCUGAACUAAAAUUUCCGAAUUGCGAUUUAUAAUGUAAUGCAGACGUUUUAGUGGGGGAAAAAUGGACUCAACAACUAAGGUUUGUGCUUUUGGCGACUGCAGCUGUUAGAACAAAAUAGUUGGUGUCAUCACUGUUUUGACGUUGAUUCAUGAGUGCAGCUAUUCACAGUUUUGAAGAAAUUAGUUUUUAGCAGUGUCGUCAUUCAGACCAUCAGAUUACAAUUUUCGAAAUUUAAAAUGCAACCAAAUAUUAAACCAAAAUAAUAUUUUUGGGACAGGCAUAUGAAAGAUUGGGAUGGGGCAUACUUUAGUACGUACGAAAGGGAAUGAGGUCCACAGAAAUUUCUGAAUUUGCACACGUGGGGUCGGGGUAAUGUUGUGAGUCCAAGAACAAAGAUUAAUGUACAAAUACGUUAUUUUAGUGUUUGUCAUUGACAUACAUUUCUGAUGACUGUCACAUGCAGAAAAGGGUAGGUUUUCAGGCCGGACUUGAAAUAUUACAACAUUGUUUUAACGUGUGAUCUUAGAAAAUACACACACACACACACACACACACACACACACACACACACACAGAGAGAGAGAGAGAGAGAGAGAGAGAGAGAGAGAGAGAGGAGAGAGAGAGAGAGAGAGAGAGAGAGAGAGAGAUUUGGCUUGAAGUGUUCAUUGUUAUAUUUAUCCUUGCUGGGAUCAUUCAUUUGAUUACCUCGAGGGCUCUAAACGAUGGCCAAAACGGAACAGUAGCCAUGUUUAGGGUCCAAUGAUGUCAGCAAAUGGCUGCCUACUAGUGAGGCAGCAUCACACAUGUGACCAAAUAUUUUGCCCCACAAGCGUCUGAGAGUAGAGCUUGAAUAAACACGUAUUCUAAUACGCAUUAACAGCUUUAUGCAGGCAUCAAAAUAAGCAUUGUGUCUGGUAACCCAUUUACAGGUUACCACAAAAUAUAGCCUGGUAACCCAUAGGUUACCACAACUAUAUGAAAGUUAGAACUGAAUUCCUAUUACUACUACUUUUAACGCCCUUGUAUGUGUGCCAGAUGAUUAUUGUAGUAUACAUGUAUUUAUGAUUCAUUGUUUAUCUUAUCAUUGUUUUUAAUGUAUUACAUAUAAUUCUUCACAAGUAUGUGACUCAUAUUAAAUAACUGAACAAAUGAAUAAAUAAAUUGAUGAAAAUAAAAAUGUUCUGUUUUCUAUUUUCUCGGUUUUUAUCAUGCAACAAUGAAAGAUAAUAAUAAUUCUGAAAUUGUAUCGGUACGCGCGAACGUCGGUACGAGAAAUGAAAUCCGGAAGUAAAUUCAUCUAGUGGACGCUGCUUAAACGCGGACUAAACUAUAACUGCUAGCAAUUGCACAAGUGCAUGCGAAGAUCGAUGCAAUUCCUCACAAACAAAUGAAACGCAGAAGACCUGAAUGCAUCGUCUGGUUUCCGUUCAGAAAUGAAACUACCGUUAACGUUUAAAUUUUUGUCGAGAACGAAACACCGUUCUCGACUUUUAUUAAUUGUGGUAACCUCCCGGUAACCUGAACGACCGUUCUCGACAAUCACACAUACACGUGCACACAUACAUUCGUACACAACAGUAGGAUGGUAUCCAGUAUUUGUCUGAAAAGGCGAGUCGUUACUCCCGUUUCCCUCCACACUAGCUUGGAAAGUUUUAGGAGAGCUGCAAAUGUAUCGCCUUACAAUAAUAAUUUAAUGUAUAUCAUUUGAAACUUCAUGGCAUUGCUCACUUGGAGUUUGUUUAGUGACAUUUAGCUCGCCUCAUGGCGAAAACUGGUAUGUGUGCUAUAUUUAUUAAACGUGCAUUAUCGAGUUUGUAUAACAGUACAUAUUCUGUUGCAUACACCCGUCGGUAGGCCCACUGUGCUAUUUAUCGUUCCAACCAGAGCACCACGACUGGUAUAUCAACGGCCAUGGUAUCGUACAUAUAAAAAGAUAUCUUGCUGCUAAUGUAAAAAUGUAGCGGGUUUCUUCUAUAAAUUACUAAAUGUUUGUCAUCCAAUAGCCAAUGAUUAAUAAAUCAAUUAGCUCUAGUGGUGUCUUUAAACAAAACACACUUUUAUCUUUGUGCUGGUGUGUCUGCUUUCUGCCAUAAAGCAUAUGAAUAAUUUCUGCUCUGAUAUUAUUUACAAGGCAUUUAUAUCCUAGCUUGAAUUUCCUGCCACGGUUAAUAUAGAUGCGUUAUGCUUAGGAAACGUAGCUUUCUAGAUUGAUUCAUUAGAAAUAUAGGUUUUUUUCUUCAAAUAAAUUGAAUAGACUGUAAGUUACGUUAUUUACAAAUUGUAUUAUGUCAAAUGUAUCAAUAUAAACAUAGUCUUUGUAUAUAGAGGUUUGAUAUUUUUACAAAACAUACAUUAUCCAGAUUGCUACAAUACAAAUAUAUUCUCUGUUUCAUAAUUGGCUUUGUUUCUAGGUACAUUCUCUGAACAUACUGGUUUGCCAUUUUUACAAAACAUGCUUUAUCCAGAUUGCUUCAAUACAAAUAUAUUCUCUGUUUCAUAAUUUGCUUAGUUUCUAUUUUUGCUUUAUUUACAAAGACUAUUAUCUCACACUGAUCAAUAAAAAUGUAUUCUCUGUUACAUAAUUUGCUUAGUCUUUAGGUUUGCCUUAUUUACAAAUAUUAUUAUCUCACAUGCAUCAAUAUAAAUUUAUUCUUUGUAAGUACAGGUUUGCCAUAUUUACAAAACAUGUAUUAUUCUGAUUAAAUCAAUAAAAAU